AGCGAACGUUUGCGGCGGGCCUAACACAUGCAAGUCGAACGCACUAGCAAUAGUGAGUGGCGCACGGGUGCGUAACACGUGGGUAAUCAACCCUUCAGCUUGGGAUAACGACUUGAAAGGGUCGCUAAUACCGGAUACGGCGAGAGAGGCUUCGGCAUUUCUCGAGAAAGCCUCGCAAGGGGCACUGAAGGACGAGCCUGCGGCCCAUCAGCUAGUUGGUGAGGUAAGAGCUCACCAAGGCGAAGACGGGUAGCUGGUCUGAGAGGAUGAUCAGCCACACUGGAACUGAGACACGGUCCAGACUCCUACGGGAGGCAGCAGUGGGGAAUAUUGCGCAAUGGGCGAAAGCCUGACGCAGCCACGCCGCGUGAGCGAUGAAGGCCUUCGGGUCGUAAAGCUCUGUGGGGAGAGACGAAGAAAGCCCGUGAAGAGCGGGCCUUGACGGUAUACUCCUUAGCAAGCACCGGCUAACUCCGUGCCAGCAGCCGACGG
Molecule: ribosomal RNA, 492 nt
Filed under: uncultured bacterium
Lineage: Bacteria
Description: bacterial SSU rRNA
Rfam family: Bacterial small subunit ribosomal RNA
Source: RNAcentral